Small nuclear RNA from Erinaceus europaeus (western European hedgehog), 104 nucleotides. The record is from Ensembl. Lineage: Eukaryota; Metazoa; Chordata; Mammalia; Eulipotyphla; Erinaceidae.
AUGCUUGCUUUGGCAGUACAUAUACUAAAAUUGGAAUGCACAGAAGAUUAGUAUGGGCCCUGUGCAAGGAUGACACACGUAUUCAUAAAGUGUUCCUCAUUUGG